CAGGAAAACAUGUGUAAAUAUACAAGAACAUAAAGAGACGAGGGGAAGAGAAAAAUGAUGACUAGUAUGAGGUCUAAUGGGCAAACAGAUUACAAUAAAUUACAGAGCCUUGCAGAGAAUAUAAGCUAUGUAUAAUAAGAGUAGCCAGACAAAAUUGCUUGGGGUCAAAACUCAGAAAUGGAGUCCAUGGUGGUGACGUUUCCUUUGUGGUGGCCUUCCUCGUCUUCUCCAUUUAAAGGGUUCUACCCAAUUCCCAUCCUCCUUCACGGCUUGCUCCCACCGCUCCUUAAAUAUUUUAAGCUCUAAUGUAGAUUGUCUCCUUGUCUGCUCAAUCCAUUUCAGAUUACGAAACAUUAGUCACUACUCUAUUUGGGAGAUCAUAAACAACUUUCGAAUGUUAAUCCAACAAACCUAUUCCUUGCCUACCCUACACACACAGCAUGGUUUAAUUGACAUGGUCAACUUGGAGCAUAGUUCAUGAACCCCCCCAUCCCCCCCCUCCCUACCCCUACCCCUAUUUAUCAUUCUUGUACCCUUAAGAAAAUCAAAUGGGAAUCGAGUAAAUUUCAAAACUAGGGGUCAUAAUAAGUUUUUCGCAAAUGUUGAAUCAAUAUUUGAAAUCAAUGGGACAUUAAGGAAUGAACUCUAUAAACAUGGUAAAUGUCCUAUUCACAUCCCUCGAGAGAAAAGCCAUAAUCCGUUAAAUGGUAUGGUAUUGGUAACGACUACAGCCAUUCCGAGGAAGAUCCUUUAUGAUCAUCCCCAAAGGUCAGGUAAUCCCAAUUAAUUUACUCAAAAGAGAAUGAAGAUUUGAAAUGACAGCUAUUAUCGGUUAAGUUAUCUCACCUCAGCUCGCACAUCAACAUCAUGUCUCUGAAAAUCACAUGCAAACUAUAAGUGAAAAUCAAAAAUGGCCAGAGCAUAGAAAAAUAUUUGAUGAAGAAUAAAGUCAUUAUUGCUCGUAUAAUCAUAUAUCUCCACAAAAAAUGUAAAAAAAUAAAUAUUGAAUGUGAACAAGCGGAGAUUUGAAAAGGGAAGACAAAAGAAUUAGAGAGCAAAAGGAAGUAUACCUUCAACAACUCUUCAGAUUUUGAACCCUGCAUACAGACAAGAAAANNN
RNAcentral lists this long non-coding RNA (1119 nucleotides) under Panax ginseng (ginseng). RNAcentral's name for it is "long non-coding RNA (PGIN_LNC007883)". The record is from RNAcentral. Lineage: Eukaryota; Viridiplantae; Streptophyta; Magnoliopsida; Apiales; Araliaceae.